RNAcentral lists this ribosomal RNA (494 nucleotides) under uncultured bacterium. Its description in RNAcentral is "partial 16S ribosomal RNA". It matches the Rfam family "Bacterial small subunit ribosomal RNA", at positions 28 to 507 of the family's 1533-position model. The record is from RNAcentral.
GACGAACGCUGGCGGCGUGCUUAACACAUGCAAGUCGAACGGUGAAGCGCCUUCCUUUUUGGUGGGUGUGGAUGAGUGGCGAACGGGUGAGUAACACGUGAGUAACCUGCCCCCUUCUUCUGGAUAACCGCAUGAAAGUGUGGCUAAUACGGGAUAUUCUGGGUCUGUCGCAUGAUGGGUCUGGGAAAGAUAUUGUUUCGGUGGGGGAUGGGCUCGCGGCCUAUCAGCUUGUUGGUGGGGUGAUGGCCUGCCAAGGCGGUGACGGGUUGCCGGCCUGAGAGGGUGGACGGCCCCACUGGGGCUGCGACGCGGCGCAGACUCCUACGGGAGGCAGCAGUGGGUAAUAUUGCACAAUGGGCGCAAGCCUGAUGCAGCGACGCCGCGUGAGGGAUGGAGGCCUUCGGGUUGUGAACCUCUUUCGCCAGUGAAGCAGGCCUGCCUCGUUUGUGGGUGGGUUGACGGUAGCUGGAUAAGAAGCGCCGGCUAACUACGUG